Molecule: non-coding RNA, 268 nt
Organism: Paramisgurnus dabryanus
Lineage: Eukaryota; Metazoa; Chordata; Actinopteri; Cypriniformes; Cobitidae
Source: RefSeq, a predicted model, not a curated record
AGUCAAACUGGCAUAUGAGGAGCAAAGGAACCCAGGCAGUAGCAUCGUUUCACAAUGUUUCCAUCACCAUCAUCAGUGGAUGCCUUUGCCGUCUGUAGCCUGAGAUUUCAGAUUUGCAGCAAAAAAAAUUUGAUUUUCUCAUUUAUUGGAAUGCUGUGCAGGUAUUUGUACCUUGCAGCCAUCCAUUACAAUGUCACCAAGCCGUAACAAAAGCAGGAGAGGGAAAGUACAAGGCUAUGUUCCCAAAACACACAAGUGACAUACCGUA